This 1475-nucleotide long non-coding RNA is filed under the name Phoenix dactylifera (date palm). Its description in RNAcentral is "long non-coding RNA (PDAC_LNC011779)". Lineage: Eukaryota; Viridiplantae; Streptophyta; Magnoliopsida; Arecales; Arecaceae. The record is from RNAcentral.
CUCCAUCAAGGACUCUCUCAAAGUUCUGGAUUCCUGAAAUGAUUUAGUCCCUAAUGUCCAUAACAAAGUGCAGUUGGGAUCCUUCCUGCUGUACAAGCCAUUACCUUUGUAAAAAUAUUUGGAAAAAAAAAUGUGAACAUAAAAAUGAGAGCCUACUUCAUAGCCAUAUAAAAAGGUUCUUUGGAGGAACAUUAGUAAUUACAGUUACAGAAGUAUUUAACUCAGCCGGAGUAAUAUUCACAUCUUGUAUUAGGUUCUCAGCCAACUAAUAAGGGCACCUUAAAAGCAUGAACCAACCAUCCACCACCACCAGAUAAUCGAUGACAACUACGAAAACUAUCAGCUUGUUUUUCAGAUUGAUUCCUUUUCUUUUUUUCUUUUUCUUUUCUCAUUAACAAAAAUUGAGCGACCGCGUGAAGUGCUAGGAUGUGCAGCGAGAUAAUACAAAAUUAGUGAAUAUUUUCACCAACAAGGGUAACAUCCAUUUGAUCAUAAAUUUCUCCAUGCCUGCUCCAACUAGCCAUGCUGAAAUAUGAUUUCUGACAGAUCAUCGAGGAGACAGAUUUUUUUUCUUAUUUUCAAGAUAUUACAAGCAGUAAUUGAAUUCCAAAACGUCACUUUUAUAAGAAUUACCAUACUGUCCGACACUACCAGGGCAAAGAUGAGCAAGGGAAUAAAUUUUGAAAUGGUACCACAAAACAUCUUGGCUGUAGAAAUCUCUAAGAACAAAGUGAGUCGAAGCAACUAAAAUGCAAAUCCAUAAGCUCUGUAACCUUUCGCAUAUGCAAUAUACCAGCUCAGAGCUCUGUGACAUUUAGGAUAUGCAAUUUCUCUGUCACCACCUCUCUUCUAACAAGCGGAUGAAAUUGGAUCAAGUCAAAAUCUGUCCUAAAAGUUCACAUAUUUUAUUGUAUUGCAUCUAAAGGAAUUCAAAAGGUUUAAUUUACUCUGCUCUAGAUCUGCCAUAGGAAAUUUACAACGAAAAGAAACCAAGCGAUCAAAAAAAAAUGGGGGGAUUCCCUGCAAAAUCUUAAUAGCUAUACAAUCCGUAACAAAAUUUAUGCAAAUAUUCAAAUACCGAGAAGUUUUACGGGAACGGCACGGAUUUCUGAUAGCCGAUGGCGCAAUCCUCCCCUUCUUCCUCAGGUCUCUCUCCCUCCGAAAGGAUCGGUAUGGGGAAGAAAGAGUAGGAUAGCGGAGGCCGCGCCGGCGGGACACCGGCGGCGGCGGAGCACGGCGGGUGGAGCCGACCGACGGCGGAGGUGCCGCAGCGAAGGGGAAAUCGCGAAGAGGACGGUCAAGGAAAUGUCGUGUGGAGCCUCGAACACCGUCUCCCGGCGGCUGCGGAACACGGCGGGGUGGAGCGCAUCGACGGCGGAGGUGGAGCAGCGGAUGGGAAAUCGCGAAGAGGACGGGACACGGGAAUGUCGCGUGGAGCCUCGAACACCGUACAAAAAUGUUAGAAAAGGGCUAAU